RNAcentral lists this ribosomal RNA (370 nucleotides) under uncultured organism. RNAcentral describes it as "bacterial SSU rRNA". It matches the Rfam family "Bacterial small subunit ribosomal RNA", at positions 526 to 896 of the family's 1533-position model. The record is from RNAcentral.
CGAGAGGCCCAAACGUUAUUCGGAUUUACUGGGCUUAAAGAGUUCGUAGGCCGCGCGGAAAGUAGGGUGUGAAAGCCCUCGGCUCAACCGAGGAACUGCGCUCUAAACUACCGUGCUUGAGGAACCUAGAGGUGAGCAGAACUGAUGGUGGAGCGGUGAAAUGCGUUGAUAUCAUCAGGAAUACCGGAGGCGAAGGCGGCUCACUGGGGGUUUUUCUGACGCUGAGGAACGAAAGCCAGGGGAGCAAACGGGAUUAGAUACCCCGGUAGUCCUGGCCGUAAACGAUGAGCACUAGACCGGAGGACUGCACAGUUUUCCGGUCGUAGCGAAAGUGAAAGUGCUCCGCCUGGGGAGUAUGGUCGCAAGGCUG